This is a long non-coding RNA of Culex pipiens pallens (northern house mosquito), 702 nucleotides long. RefSeq lists it as uncharacterized. The transcript is spliced from 2 exons. The record is from RefSeq and is a predicted model, not a curated record. NCBI's taxonomy places the organism in Eukaryota, Metazoa, Arthropoda, Insecta, Diptera, Culicidae.
CUAAAUAUAUAUAGAUACGCCACUCCCCUGUUGGGGCUGGCGACACUACCGCCACGCCAAAAUUGCACCUGGUGGCAAUUCACAGGUACUACUUUUCGAUGUUUCCAAAGGGAAAAUUAUUUUUCCCCAGUUUCAGUUCAAGUGUUACGGUUGCAUCGUAGCAACAGCUGCUUUUCAAACUUUGUUUAUUUUCUGUCAACAUUUCACCAUCAAGUGGGACUUCAAAUCGUUGGCUUUUUUCCUCUUAGAAGAACCCGGUGCGAGCAUCUCUGACCACCGAAAAUCCUACAAACGGAGCCGUUUCCUCCGAGGUUGCCAUCCGUUCAUCUUGGAGACGUGUUAGCAAGCCCUCUGGUUGCACUCUAAACUUGAUUAACCCUGCCAACCAUUCCACCACAGCAAACGGAAACUGCGUAGCGUUAUAGAAUCUGACCGUAACUGUCGGUGCUUCUAGCGGACACAGCCUUCUCGUGUGAACAGAACUCAAGCAAAGCUUUUCCCGGGGCCCAGUUUCACAAGAACCACGGUGUGCGACAAUCCACCGUUGCCGGAAUAGCGGGAGCGAGCGGAAACACAAGUCUAAUCUAAACGUAUGCUGGGCACCAUGAUGAAAUGCCUCGAUUUUUGUUACAACUGUUUCUUGUUCUAUUUUGUUAGUUGAUAAUAAAACGUCGACCCAAUAAAACGGAUAUCAUACACCUA